AUCUGAUGAAAAAAAAAAAAAAAUCCAAGAGUAAAUUUGGUAAAAUGUAAUAUAUACUCGUUGUCAAUGGUGAAGGACAGAUUGGAACAUACCAGAAAUAUAUUGAUUUAAAAAAGGUACGCACUUAGUCGACCAUUCGUAUAUACGCCUGGAUUAUAAGUUACGGAACUAUAGCGCAAAUUAAAAUAUAUACAUUUAUACAUAGAACAUAAGAAAGAAUAAUAUAUUUUGCGUAAAUUGGGGUAAAAGUUUUGUAAAAUGAAAAGUCCACGUAUGCCAACAGUAAGUAAUCAUCAAAUGUCGAUAGAUUAUUGUAUACCAAACGAAGAAGGAGAAGAAGAAGAGAUUUAAACACAGGUCGAUAUAUAACUUUAUUUGGCUCAUCGAAGUUAUGGACAUUUAUAUAAUUCAAUUAGAUUGUUCUCGAAAAAAGGAAGAAAUUCGUCUUCGUCACAAUUGUUCCAAAAUGCAUGUAAUAUAUACGCCACUGGAAGUACACUUAUACCGAGGGAUGUGAAUAUUUUCCGGGAAAACUAUAGAGUAUCAAAGUUUCAAAUCAAUUUCGGGAUUUAUUUUCUCUCUAGAUAUUCAAUGACAGCAAUUUAAAGAAACUGCUUGUCCGCUUUAGUGGUAUUCUUGCCAGUUGAAACAGACUUAUAAUUACAUUAAAAAAUAGGGAAGGAUGACAUUAAAUUCGUUGUCUUUUUUUAUACAUCGUUGGUCAAAUAGCUAAAGUAUUAUAUAUAGUUACGGUGUGAGACGAAGAGUAUUUUAAGAAGGACAUAUUCCCGAUUAUGUAUAAAUUUUGUUGAUGUUUUUCACACUUGAAAAGCAUAUCUGUUCGUAAUUUGUCGAUUCCAUUCCAAUUAGAUCCUUUAAUUUCCUGUCAAUUUUUUUAAACAUUUUUCUUUUUAAAUAUCUGAAGUCUUCAUGUGUUGUCAGAUUUAAAAU
This 951-nucleotide long non-coding RNA is filed under the name Mytilus galloprovincialis (Mediterranean mussel). Lineage: Eukaryota; Metazoa; Mollusca; Bivalvia; Mytilida; Mytilidae. The record is from RNAcentral.